RNAcentral lists this transfer RNA (72 nucleotides) under Camelus bactrianus (Bactrian camel). It matches the Rfam family "tRNA". Rfam says of the family: Transfer RNA (tRNA) molecules are approximately 80 nucleotides in length. Their secondary structure includes four short double-helical elements and three loops (D, anti-codon, and T loops). Lineage: Eukaryota; Metazoa; Chordata; Mammalia; Artiodactyla; Camelidae. RNAcentral also lists the same sequence under 1 other name. The record is from Rfam by way of RNAcentral.
GAGGGUAUAGCUCAGGGGUAGAGCACGUGCUUAGCAGGCAUGAGGUUCUGGGGUCAAUCCCAAGUACCUCCA